UAAACCAGCAAUGCAUGGCCCUGCGUGC
This 28-nucleotide non-coding RNA is filed under the name Homo sapiens (human). The record is from RNAcentral. Lineage: Eukaryota; Metazoa; Chordata; Mammalia; Primates; Hominidae.